Molecule: ribosomal RNA, 858 nt
Filed under: uncultured marine bacterium
Lineage: Bacteria
Description: bacterial SSU rRNA
Rfam family: Bacterial small subunit ribosomal RNA
Source: RNAcentral
AGGAGAAUUUUAUUUUCGGAUAAAUAGUAAACUGGCGAACGGGUGAGUAACGCGUAAAUAACUUGCCUCAGAGAUUGGGACAACAUUGGGAAACCAGUGCUAAUACCAAAUAAUGCAGCGGGCCCUUCGGGGUAUUUGUUGUUAAAAUGGGCUUCGGCUCACGCUUUGAGAUAGGUUUGCGUCCGAUUAGUUAGUUGGUAGGGUAAUUGCCUACCAAGGCGAAGAUCGGUAGCUGGUCUGAGAGGAUGAUCAGCCACACUGGAAUUGAGAUACGGUCCAGACUCCUACGGGAGGCAGCAGUAAGGAAUUUUGCACAAUGGGCGAAAGCCUGAUGCAGCAACGCCGCGUGAUUGAUGAAGUUUUUAGGAAUGUAAAAAUCUGUCGUAAGGGAAGAAAUGUUUCAGAUAUUAAUACUAUCUGUUAUUGACGGUACCUUACAAGAAAGCACCGGCUAACUUCGUGCCAGCAGCCGCGGUAAUACGAGGGGUGCUAGCGUUGUCCGGAUUUACUGGGCGUAAAGGGUACGUAGGCGUUUUAACAAGUUAUGUGUUAAAUACUUUAGCUUAACUAAAGAACUGCACAUAAAACUGUUAGAAUAGAGUUUGAGAGAGGAACGCAGAAUUCAUGGUGGAGCGGUGACAUGCGUAGAUAUCAUGAGGAAAGUCAAAUGCGAAGGCAGCCUUCUGGCUCAAAACUGACGCUGAGGUACGAAAGCGUGGGGAGCGAACAGGAUUAGAUACCCUGGUAGUCCACGCCGUAAACGAUGAGUACUUGGUGCUGGAAGAUUCGACCCUUUCAGUGCCGUAGCUAACGCGAUAAGUACUCCGCCUGGGGACUACGAUCGCAAGAUUGAAACUC